AUUUAACCUCAAAUCAGGUAAGAAUACCCGCUGAACUUAAGCAUAUCAAUAAGCGGAGGAAAAGAAAAUAACAAUGAUUCCCUUAGUAACUGCGAGUGAAGAGGGACAAGCUCAAAUUUUAAAUCUGUUAGGUUCAUCUAACCGAGUUGUAAUUUGAAGAGGCGUUUUCUGCGUUUUUGAUCAGUCCAAGUCCUUUGGAAUAAGGCAUCAUGGAGGGUGAGAAUCCCGUUCGGUUGAUCAAAUUUGCUUUAUGAUACGUCAUCUAAGAGUCAAGUUGUUUGGGAUUGCAGCUUAAAAUGGGAGGUAAAUUUCUCCUAAGGCUAAAUAACGGCGAGAGACCGAUAGCGAACAAGUACCGUGAGGGAAAGAUGAAAAGAACUUUGAAAAGAGAGUUAAACAGUACGUGAAAUUGUUGAAAGGGAAACGAUUGAAGCCAGUCGUACCUUCGGGUAAUCAGCCUUUCGGGUGCGAUUCUGUGGAGCGUGGGGAGUUAAACGCCUUCAUGCCUGCAUAUUCGUGCACUUUGGGUGUACUUGCCCGUGUGGUAGGUUAACAUCAAUUUCGGAUGUCAUAAAAUGGCUGGAGGAAUGUAGCUUCGGUCUCGUACUGAAGUGUUAUAGCCUUUGGUAGAUGUGAUGACCGGGAUUGAGGAUUGCAACGAAUACCUUUUGGGCUAUCCGUCUGAUCUCUGAAAGUUGCUCUGGUGCCGAAAGCUUGCUUACGGUUAUCAAAGUUGACGUUCAAAAGGUUAGAACGGGUUAAAUUCGUUAAGGAUGUUGACGUAAUGGCUUUAAACGACCCGUCUUGAAACACGGACCAAGGAGUCUAGCAUAUAUGCGAGUGUU
RNAcentral lists this ribosomal RNA (845 nucleotides) under Rhizophagus intraradices. Its description in RNAcentral is "eukaryotic LSU rRNA". It matches the Rfam family "Eukaryotic large subunit ribosomal RNA", at positions 1 to 694 of the family's 3401-position model. The record is from RNAcentral. Lineage: Eukaryota; Fungi; Glomeromycota; Glomeromycetes; Glomerales; Glomeraceae.